AUACGGAGGGUGCAAGCGUUACUCGGAAUCACUGGGCGUAAAGCGCGCGCAGGCGGCCUGAUAAGUUGGAUGUGAAAGCCUACGGCUCAACCGUAGAACUGCAUCCAAAACUGUCAGGCUAGAGUGUGGGAGAGGAAGAUGGAAUUAGUUGUGUAGGGGUAAAAGCCGUAGAGAUAACUAGGAAUACCAAAAGCGAAGGCAAUCUUCUGGAACACUACUGACGCUGAGGCGCGAAGGCGUGGGGAGCAAACAGGAUUAGAAACCCUAGUAGUCC
RNAcentral lists this ribosomal RNA (274 nucleotides) under uncultured bacterium. RNAcentral's name for it is "partial 16S ribosomal RNA". It matches the Rfam family "Bacterial small subunit ribosomal RNA", at positions 523 to 796 of the family's 1533-position model. The record is from RNAcentral.